This 377-nucleotide ribosomal RNA is filed under the name uncultured bacterium. Its description in RNAcentral is "bacterial SSU rRNA". It matches the Rfam family "Bacterial small subunit ribosomal RNA", at positions 521 to 898 of the family's 1533-position model. The record is from RNAcentral.
UAAUACGUAGGGGGCAAGCGUUGUCCGGAAUUAUUGGGCGUAAAGCGCGCGCAGGCGGUUUCUUAAGUCUGGUGUCUAAGUGCGGGGCUCAACCCCGUGAUGCACUGGAAACUGGGAGACUUGAGUGCAGAAGAGGAGAGCGGAAUUCCACGUGUAGCGGUGAAAUGCGUAGAGAUGUGGAGGAACACCAGUGGCGAAGGCGGCUCUCUGGACUGUAACUGACGCUGAGGCGCGAAAGCGUGGGGAGCAAACAGGAUUAGAUACCCUGGUAGUCCACGCCGUAAACGAUGAGUGCUAGGUGUUGGGGGGGUCCACCCCUCGGUGCCGAAGUUAACACAUUAAGCACUCCGCCUGGGGAGUACGGUCGCAAGACUGAA